RNAcentral lists this ribosomal RNA (465 nucleotides) under uncultured Klebsiella sp. RNAcentral's name for it is "bacterial SSU rRNA". It matches the Rfam family "Bacterial small subunit ribosomal RNA", at positions 338 to 795 of the family's 1533-position model. Lineage: Bacteria; Pseudomonadati; Pseudomonadota; Gammaproteobacteria; Enterobacterales; Enterobacteriaceae. The record is from RNAcentral.
CCUACGGGCGGCAGCAGUGGGGAAUAUUGCACAAUGGGCGCAAGCCUGAUGCAGCCAUGCCGCGUGUGUGAAGAAGGCCUUCGGGUUGUAAAGCACUUUCAGCGGGGAGGAAGGCGGUGAGGUUAAUAACCUCAUCGAUUGACGUUACCCGCAGAAGAAGCACCGGCUAACUCCGUGCCAGCAGCCGCGGUAAUACGGAGGGUGCAAGCGUUAAUCGGAAUUACUGGGCGUAAAGCGCACGCAGGCGGUCUGUCAAGUCGGAUGUGAAAUCCCCGGGCUCAACCUGGGAACUGCAUUCGAAACUGGCAGGCUAGAGUCUUGUAGAGGGGGGUAGAAUUCCAGGUGUAGCGGUGAAAUGCGUAGAGAUCUGGAGGAAUACCGGUGGCGAAGGCGGCCCCCUGGACAAAGACUGACGCUCAGGUGCGAAAGCGUGGGGAGCAAACAGGAUUAGAUGCCCUAGUAGUC